AAGUCGUAACAAGGUAACCGUAGGUGAACCUGCGGUUGGAUCAUUUACGAUCUGCACCCUGUCAAAGGGUCGAUCCACAACUGUGCACCCUUUGCCGUGUUUGGCGGCAGGACGGUUCGAAGUUCCCCUGGGGUCGCAAGAUUCCCUGAGACUUGCACCGUCCGCGUCGGAGGUCGCGAGUCCUCGUUCCCCCGGCGUUUGCCGCCAGUGAAACAAACAUCUUGCACUUUGGACUGAUCAUUACGUCACGCAAGUGAUAAAAUCCGAAACAACUUUCGACAAUGGAUCUCUUGGCUCUC
This 299-nucleotide unclassified non-coding RNA is filed under the name fungal sp. RNAcentral's name for it is "partial internal transcribed spacer region". The stretch from base 1 to 46 matches the Rfam family "Eukaryotic small subunit ribosomal RNA", at positions 1786 to 1831 of the family's 1831-position model. The record is from RNAcentral. Lineage: Eukaryota; Fungi.